Molecule: long non-coding RNA, 3754 nt
Organism: Heterocephalus glaber (naked mole-rat)
Lineage: Eukaryota; Metazoa; Chordata; Mammalia; Rodentia; Bathyergidae
Source: Ensembl
CACAUGUCCCAGAGCAGGGGCUUGCAGCCCUACCAGAAACGUGCUUUUUGAGUCAGCCUACUUCGUUAGAGAGCGUGCGCAGAUGAGAACUAUAGGUACCAGCAACCAUAUGACAUGCUUUAUGAAGCAGUGGCUUUGGCAUACAGCGCAAGUACGGGUACUGAAGAUUGAACCUAGGACCUCUGCACCAAGCAGAGACAGUGCUUGGCCCAUGGAGGGCAAUGAAGAAAUUGGAACCAUCUGGAAUCGUCUUUAAAUCUCCAGAGGAGAGAGAUCUGAGGGCAGCCUCCUUUCCAUCUGUUUGUCUGUUUUAUCAGACUGCAUAGGGAAGAGAGUGGCCGACAGGGAUUUGGGCAUUACCAGGACUUCUGACCAGAAUACCACCUAGUAUGUCUCUGGGCCCCAGGCUUCUAUACCUGGGAGUCCACCUGGCAGCCCAUGGUUGUGUCCCUCCCACCUGGGACAGGAUCCAUCAGCCAGGUGUGCCCCCUCACCUGUGGGAUUCUUUGCCAACUUCUCUCUAGGAGGUGCUGGGCUCAGAGUUGUAAAAUCCCUUUUGUUUCCUUCUGGAUCUUAGUGAGGGCCAGAAGGUAGGAAACUGUGCCUAGAACUGUCCUUUCUGAAGACCAGUAGCAUCCUAAAGGGAGAUGGAAUAUCAAAGUAGCUAAGUGGAGGGCCAUCCUCUGAACAGCAUAGAGAGACAGAGAGGUGGCCAAAGUUGCUCCCUGGGCCAAGGACUUAUUGAAUAGUCAGGUGUCCUUUGAGGCCACCUGAGCAGUGCACUCCAUCAGCAACCCAGAUGUGUGUGUGUGUGUGUGUGUGUGUGUGUGUGUAUGCGUGUGUGUUUGUAUGUGAAAAGGACUGGCCACAGACAAGAUCUCCAUAAAUACUACAGAUCAGAUUUUCACCUCUCUCACGGUAGGAAAUUCCUGCUACGAACAGCAUUAAAAGUUUAUUUACUUACACAUGUAAUUGUUUACAUAGUUAAUAAUUUGGUUUAAAAAAUUCAGCUCCUGGCACAAGUGCAUGUUUAAAACAUUUGAACCCCACAACUGCAAAUAAACCACCCAUUGCACAGUGGGUCUUUCAGGCCCCUUGGUGUGCAGCUGAGGCUGGGCAGAAACCGUUCCAACACCAACACAGCCUGAGUUCUGGCCCAGGAUGAUGCAGCCUCUUGCUUUCCACACAUGUUUAUGGGGAGCUGGGCACUAGGCAAGUCCCCAUGUGGAGGGCAUUGGCUCCACUGCCGCUGCUGUCCCAGAGACGCGGAGAUCAGAGUGAGCCAUUUCCAGGCAGGAGCCGGGGGCAGGUGGCCCUUUCUCCAGGGCCGUUAGUGUGUGUCCUGCACAGCCCCAUCCCGACUUGACCUUUUGGCCAGGACUGAAUUGCAGUGCCGUCCAGUGCAGUGCAUUGCUCCCUAUGCCCCUCCUCAGCAGGGCUGCCCAGGCACACUUACCACCUGUCUCCCAUUCCUCCUUCACUGUGCUUUCCCUCCUGCCCCGCAGAUGGAUCUUUUUAGUCCCUAAGGUCUGGGCUCUAGGGCCAUCUGCUCAGGGUGGUCUUUCCACCCACACUAGCCACCCAGGGUCUCACCAGGACUCCCAGUGACUGCACCCCCUCCCCAGCCUCGUUUACUCCCUUCAGAGCCCUGGGCAUUGGCCAGAGUCUGAAAUGAGCACGUUGCUUCUCGGAAUACUUGUUUACUGCCUUGUUACCCUGAGACAGCAGAGCCCUCCUCUGUCUGCAUCACCCUCAGAUCCUGCCUUUAGAGAAGAACCUGACUCACUGUGAUUAUCCAAAGCUGUUUAUUAGCAGAGGACUAAUCUCCAUUAUGUCUCACCCUGACUGGGAUGAGCAUUGCUUCAUCAACAGCGUGUGCAGAGCCUGUGAGCGGUUUAACUGGGUGGACAGCAUAGCAAGGAGGGGUGUCUGUGGGGCACCUAAUUUUUACACAAAAUUUGCUGUCUGUACAUUUUCCCAGGCUGAGUCCAAAGUGGGCUUCUUAUUCCCAAAGGGCUCUGGGAGCCUGCCUCCACAAAUGAAGGACACUCUGAUGGAGUCCGGUGGUCCCAGAAAUCUGGGCCUACAGUGCGGUGGGGGUAAUGGAAGGAAAGCAGAGGGCAACCUUGGUGUUUCUGGGAAUUCUCAGCAUCAGUGUCUCCGACAGCGUGAGAUUCCUGGGAGUUUCACCAGGGACCCUCACCGUGUGUGCGUGUGUGCGUGUGUGUGUGCGUGCGUGUGUGUGUGUGUGUAGGGAAGAGGCUGGUAGCUGUGGGAAACAGACAACACUGAGGUUUCACUUAAAAUUCACUUAGGAAACACCUUUCACUGCUUUGGAGAGAGGAAGAGGAAGGAUGAAAACUCUUCAUACAACUACACACACUGACCACAAUGUGGUAAAAGCUCCGUAAGCCCAUUGGAAUUUGAAAUGUCUGAAUUUGAAAAUGUAUCUCAUAUACCUCCUCUACCAAACACCCUAACUUAACCUAGCGUCCCUUAAAUGUGCUCAGGACAUGAGUUGGUCAGAGUCAGGUAACACAAAGCCUGUUUUGUUAUAAAGUGUUAAAUAUCUCCAUGUAAUUCAUUGAGUGUCUGUAUCCCCAAGUGCUGAGAACACAGCACACUGUCAAGUGCCAUUUGUCUCCUCUUGUGAUCAUGAGGCUGCCUGGGAACUGCGGUUCCCAUCUCUCCUCAGCAUCUCCAGAGCCAAGCACACCGCUUAUCCUCUACUAACAGGAAAUGAUCCAAAUUCAAAAUUUCAAAUAGUUUCUCCUGAAUGCAUACAAUUUGUGUCAUUGUGAAGUUGAACUAUCUUAAUCAAACCAUAGAAGUUGCGGAGUAUCUGUACUUAAACCUCAGCUCAAUUUAUUUGGAGAGAAAUUAAAGAAGACUGUUUUCCUGAAUAUUUAUUUUAUCUCAGCUAUUCCAGAGGCUGGAGAAGCAGAGCCUGAGUUUGUUCUUGUGGUGCAGAAGCCUCAGUCUGCUCUGAGAGUGCAGGGAGACCUUAGAGAUAAGCUUACUUCAGACCCUGGAAAGCAGCCUUCAGUGAACCACAAGUACCAGGUUCUAGGGCAUCUCUGCCCCAUGCCAGCUCAGGAUGGAGUGGGGCUGAAAGAUCCAGGAGAAGGAAGGAGCAAGGACAAGCCACCAAAGCAUCUGCCCACAGUGCAACUCCAGGCAUUGGCUGCCAUGGGUAAGGAGCCACCUGCCACCUGUAGGUGACGAGGCGAUGUGUUCCCCCAGUUGUGGUUCACUACAAGUCUUUGCUGCCAUUCCUGGCAGGUCACACCACUCCAUAAGACCAGCUGACAUCGUCUCUGAGGGAAUGAGUAACCCAUGAGGCCAUAGAGAGAAAGGUGCAGGAAGAGGCUUCAUGCCACAGAAAGCAAAAGUGGAGAAGAACUGCUAUGAGCAACCGGAGAGCAGGAUUGUAAUUUAUACCUGUACAAUUGUGUUGGACCUCUGGACAGCCAAUGAGCCCUCACUGGUGGUUUCCAUCUCUAGACGGGCAUAGUAGGUGCAGCAGCUCUGUGACCUGCUGGGCUCUUCUGUGUGGGUCCGUUACUGCUCCCCUCCCACCUGCCCACUGUGGACAGCCCAGGGCAGGGGCUGGUGUUGAAAAGGGGGCCAGUGAGGGUCCUGGCUCCCCCAGUUCCUCUGUUUGCUGCAGUCCUUAAUAGUGGGCAUCGUCCCACAGGAAUCCCAAAUCAGACCGGGCCCUUUGACUGGCGUUCUCAAACUAAACUGAGGCAAG